GGGGGGGGGAGGUAGGGAUCAUCUUUUCAUGCCUCAACGAUGGAGUUCUGCUGGCUGAGCUCAUAGCAGCAUCUGCAGUGGAAACAGUUAAUAUUUGUGUUUAAAAAAAAAAAAACAACACAUGAACAUGAGACUAAGGUAGAACGUUUAAAAAUAACUGUUCUUGAUGUUGCUACAGAGACCUUUAUUAUAGCCAUAGUACGUGAUGUGCAUUGAUUACAUUCCACAUAAGUAGCGUUUUCUCGCUCAGACUAGUAGGAACUGACAGUACUCCCACUUGUAUGAGACAGUAUGAAGAAGCAUGCAGGCUGUGGCAGAAAGGAGGUGUGCUUGGCUUUUCAACUCUUAAAAACUAAAAUCAAUACAGGCACAGGAAGUCGGUUGUAAAACCCUGUUACCAGGGAGGAACGGAAACAAGACGCUAUCUCAGAGCUACAGUUCCUAAGAGGAGGAUCUUGUUUCAUGACAUAAUAAAAGCCAGGGUCUGGUGAGAUAGCAACAGAAUCCCUAAUUAAGAGACAGGAUACUCUAAGCUUGAACAUGAGCCUCUUGAAAACCAGACCAGACAGCUGUAGUGCUCUCUCGAUGGUAGAACCCUCAGGACAGUUGAAAGGAAGGGAUGUACCACAGCAAUCUGUCAUCAGUGCAACUUCCAGCAAUCUUUGUAGCUAACAGAUCACAGUGGAUUUUCUUUCUCCUCAUGAAUUUACCUAAUCACUUUCUAAAUCCUGUUUCAUGCAGUACUGUGAGAAUGAUAAUCUAAUUUUGGUCUCUAAGACAUGAAAUACAAAAACAAUAGGAGGCCCAGGAAAGAAUGAAGCCAUUUUGCCAACAGAUAUUACAAAAACAUGCAACAAUUAUAGCACAUUGACGAAGAAAAUUACUAAAACCGCUAAUUACAAAAUAACCCAGCAUUUCCUGCUGUGAAAAUGAAUUUGUUAUUUAGACCACUUCACUGUUUUUGAUAAAUCACCACCUGUAAUUGCUUUUCUAAGCUCGUGAUAGGGGUAUUUCUCUAUUUGGUGCCAUGAUGUCAAAUUGAAAGAGUACCUUUUCGACUGGUCGCAUUGUCUAGGGUUAAAUAGAAAACCUUUCCAAACUCUUCUUCACUCCAAGAUUUUUGUAUCAGUCAUGGAUGAGAAGAAAAAAGACAAAUGUCACCACUCUUUGCCUAGCUGUGAGAAAUUCACUGCCUGUGAAGUUAUGCUACUUGUUCUCUGCUACAAUACUAACUUUCAUGUAUUUUGCAAUCCCUGUCUAUCUCUGUUGUAAUUUCUUGCAAAGUGUUGAAAAUGUAAAGCUCUACACUCACAAUUGCCCCACAAUCUGAUUUACAAACUAAAAGAAUAUACCUGGGCUUUUCUGAGUAUUUUUCUUGCUUACAUAUAGGUGAGAUAUUCCCUUUAACAAAUAAUCCUCAUAUUAAAAAAAAAACAAGAACCAACCACGCAUACCAGGUCUAACUUAUGCAUGUGCAGCAUCCUAUUUAAUAAUUUACAGCUGUGCAAAGAACAAGCAGGUGAGUGUAUUCCAUACAGCUGCACAAAGCUCUGCGUAACCAGAGCGGAAACGGAAUGACUGCACGCACCUUUCUAUUUAUCCAGACCUCUAGAAAACGCAAACAGCAAAUUCUAAAGUGAAGCCAAAGCCAUGCAUGCCUCGAGGCCCUUUCCAGAUGGUAUGAAGACGAGCCCUUUUCCCUCCCUUUUACAUGACGUGAUUUUGCUUCCUCUCGGAUCAUCUCAGCCCUACUUACCGUUACACAACGUUUUUUGCACCCACGUUAACGUUAUUUGCUGCUAAUUCUGAUAUUCUGUCGUCAUCAGUGAAAAUGCUGAAACCCUCCCAGUUCUUGUUCAUGACGUGUCUCCGAGAUUACACAGCCCUCGAUAAAAAUGUCCCUGGGAAAGGAUAAAAGCGAUUACUGAGCUCAGUGCUUCAGACCCUUAAGCUGCCACCAGGUGCAUCAAAUGUGCCAGUUUUUCUCUUCUGCUUGCUUAACAGAGGAAAAAGCUCAAAUGAACGUUUAUCUGAUGUUCCUCCUGACCCCAAACUAAAGCUGUUAUUGCCUCUCUGAAUAUAUUAUUCCAUUCCUGUAAAGCCAUUUAGUUGCAAAUUCAACAUUUUCUUAUUGCAUAUGCCCACAUUAGCCAUGGUAAAGGCCUGUAACAGGGCAGAUGCAGUUCUGUCCCAAUGACCUCUCUGGUAUUUCUAUAGAAAUGCUCUGUUAAACACCCAGGCAUUUCAACUUCCAGUCACAAGACCUAUAAAAAAUUCAUACACCGAAUCUCUGGUUUCAAACCACAGCUCUGCAUCAUUAAGAGCUUUUCAAUCCUCCCACCCCACAGACGUUAUGAAGAAGGGGGGAGGGCGGCUCUACCUUCCCAGUGCUUAACCCUCACAUCUUCUGCUCCUCCUGCCUGCAAUUUUAACCAGCUCUGGGUGGAGGCUGGCAAACACGUGUGAGCUGCAGAGCACACAACCAGGCUGAUAUCCCAUCACCCCCAACAGAGCUUAAGAACGUGUUCGCAUUUUGAGAUCUGCCCCAAACUUCUCAGCGGGAAGCAGCAAAGGGGCUUCUAAGGAACCCCGGCACCUCCGUGCAUCUCUUGCUCUUUCCAGAGGGCUUUCACUCAGAACCCACCAGCCGG
This 2651-nucleotide long non-coding RNA is filed under the name Gallus gallus (chicken). Its description in RNAcentral is "lncRNA (ENSGALG00010023138.1)". The record is from RNAcentral. Lineage: Eukaryota; Metazoa; Chordata; Aves; Galliformes; Phasianidae.